UCCCUGGUAGUCCAGUGGCUAAGAAGCUGCAUUGCAGAUGCAGGAGGCCUGGGUCCAAUCCCUGGUCAGGGAA
This 73-nucleotide transfer RNA is filed under the name Ovis aries (sheep). It matches the Rfam family "tRNA". From Rfam's summary of the family: Transfer RNA (tRNA) molecules are approximately 80 nucleotides in length. Their secondary structure includes four short double-helical elements and three loops (D, anti-codon, and T loops). The record is from Rfam by way of RNAcentral. Lineage: Eukaryota; Metazoa; Chordata; Mammalia; Artiodactyla; Bovidae.